UUUACCUUUUAAACAUCCGGCUGCCUGUGAAUGAGAAGAAGAAAAUCAAUGUGGGAAUUGGGGAGAUAAAGGAUAUCCGGUUGGUGGGGAUCCACCAAAAUGGAGGCUUCACCAAGGUGUGGUUUGCCAUGAAGACCUUCCUUACGCCCAGCAUCUUCAUCAUUAUGGUGUGGUAUUGGAGGAGGAUCACCAUGAUGUCCCGACCCCCAGUGCUUCUGGAAAAAGUCAUCUUUGCCCUUGGGAUUUCCAUGACCUUUAUCAAUAUCCCAGUGGAAUGGUUUUCCAUCGGGUUUGACUGGACCUGGAUGCUGCUGUUUGGUGACAUCCGACAGGGCAUCUUCUAUGCGAUGCUUCUGUCCUUCUGGAUCAUCUUCUGUGGCGAGCACAUGAUGGAUCAGCACGAGCGGAACCACAUUGCAGGGUAUUGGAAGCAAGUCGGACCCAUUGCCGUUGGCUCCUUCUGCCUCUUCAUAUUUGACAUGUGUGAGAGAGGGGUACAACUCACGAAUCCCUUCUACAGUAUCUGGACUACAGACAUUGGAACAGAGCUGGCCAUGGCCUUCAUCAUCGUGGCUGGAAUCUGCCUCUGCCUCUACUUCCUGUUUCUAUGCUUCAUGGUAUUUCAGGUGUUUCGGAACAUCAGUGGGAAGCAGUCCAGCCUGCCAGCUAUGAGCAAAGUCCGGCGGCUACACUAUGAGGGACUAAUUUUUAGGUUCAAGUUCCUCAUGCUUAUCACCUUGGCCUGCGCUGCCAUGACUGUCAUCUUCUUCAUCGUUAGUCAGUUUAUGGACCCCUUGAAUUCUAUCCAAGGACACCCAAGGGGGCCCCAAGUUUGGAGCCUCUAGAGCCCUGUUGUUGGCUCUGCCACUGGGGAGUGUUAGUGUUGCUAGCUCUGCUGAGGUUGAAAUGAACAUGGAAAAAAUAAACUGAUAUACAUAUAUGUCUUUGUAAGUUCUGUUCACCACAUCUGCUUUGACCCAUAACACUGCUGUGUUUGUAUCAGGUUGUUUAUAAAACCUUGGAAACUUCGCUUUCCACUCC
This 1041-nucleotide small RNA is filed under the name Pan troglodytes (chimpanzee). RNAcentral's name for it is "processed transcript". The record is from RNAcentral. Lineage: Eukaryota; Metazoa; Chordata; Mammalia; Primates; Hominidae.